RNAcentral lists this long non-coding RNA (390 nucleotides) under Salvia miltiorrhiza (redroot sage). RNAcentral describes it as "long non-coding RNA (SMIL_LNC006346)". The record is from RNAcentral. Lineage: Eukaryota; Viridiplantae; Streptophyta; Magnoliopsida; Lamiales; Lamiaceae.
UCUUCUAACUGUAUAACAGCUGCAAAGUAAAACUAAAACACGAAAAAUUGAAUUGUUGAAAGAAAAGAAGUGAUGAAAAACUUGAAAACAUAAUAAUCAUAACAAAUGAUAUACUAAAAGGAGGGAUACGACUUACGAGUUCUCUAGAGAAUUUACAUAAGGGUAAAUCAAAUUCUCAAAAAAAAGAAAAGAAAAAAAGUAUAAGCUAAAUCAUACUCACACUGAUUUGAUCAAUGCACCAAAAGUCGAUAAGAACCAAAAAACUGAAGAUAAGUUUAAAAAUAAAAAAAUAAAAUAUUAUGAUUCUCUUUCACUCGAAUUGAAUAUUUGGGUCUUGCCUUAUACUCCUGACUCAGGAUUGUAUAUUAUACUGGUUAAACAAAUUUUGAG